Molecule: long non-coding RNA, 1295 nt
Organism: Austrofundulus limnaeus
Lineage: Eukaryota; Metazoa; Chordata; Actinopteri; Cyprinodontiformes; Rivulidae
Exons: 2
Source: RefSeq, a predicted model, not a curated record
UAUUCGUUAUGGUAAUUUAAUACACUCGUUUUUUUUCUCUUUUUUUUUUCAGAAAGAUCUUCUAUGCCUGAAACCAAUGCUUCCAUCCUGGUUGAACGUCACAGACCGACAACUGAAAUCUGCUGAGAGCCUUCAGCAGGCAGCUCAGAGCAUGGAGCAUGAUCUGAGCAUGGGUCUGUCCCUUUGGGCUGUCGCGGCCAUCGUUUGUAACUCCGUGGUGGGUGUCCUCAUCAUCAUCCUCUUUGUCAUACUCUACAAAGCCUGCAAGGUGCCUUCACACCAAGAAAAGUUGCUGUUUUUUGCAGCACGACUGGAGCAGAAGGAGACGGAGCAGAAGUGCAUGCUCACUGCAGCCUGAUUGGGAUUCCCUGAUAGGAUAAUUGGAUCCAUAACUCAAACCCCUCGUACAUUUCUUUUUUAAUUUUUUCUUUUUUGCUCUCUGUUCUGCUUUGUGCUACACGCUGUUUACCGUUCUCCACUGUCUCUUCUGUGCCCAUUCAGUGGAGCUCAGAAUGAGCUAACCGCAUGAAGAUUUGUGGUUGGACCAACGACAACAACAACAACAGGCAGGCCCAAUCCUCUUAUCUGUGCUGCGCGUCUCUGGGACCGUCCAUCUGUCAUUCAGAUUGGCUCGCUCGGCACAUGCAGACUAUGAUCUCCUCUUCUGCUCCAUUCUUUCCCAGCCCUCUGUGUGAGACAGUGGAGAGGGCGUGGAGGAGAAGCAGCACAAUGAAGUGGAAUAGACAGGUUAGGGUUUACAAGUGCUGCACUAAUGAUGACAGCAGACACACAAAAGGUACGACGGCCUUAAAGAGGAAUAAGGGGGAACAGAGAUGUUGCUGGAGGACGCGUCUGAGUGGAGACAGACGGAGAUAAAGUUUGGGUUUAUAUUUUCGGGUGGUGGAGGAUUGAGAAAGUGCAGGGGAAGAAUUAGAAACGGGACGCUUUGAUGUUUUGUUGACAGAAGGUAGAGCUCGAGGGCCCUGUUUGACAGUCUCCACAUUUAAUACACACAGGUUUCUGCUCGCGCUGAUCCAACUCCCACGGGAUUAAAAGCAACAGCUAAAGUGUAGCUGCAACAGUGUUUGGGUUGUUCUGCUGUGCCUCGCUUUCAUUCCUUCAGCUUCCAGAAAGACAGAGUGAGAUAUUUACAGACAGGCGUGAUCAAAACUAUAAGACAGAACCUUCAGGGUUUCAAGUGUUACACAAAGUUAUCCACAUGCAGUUGUGUUUGUGUAUAUAUGUGUAUAUACAUGUGUUUAAAAGUAAAUCAGAUGCUAUUCUGAUAAACAAUA